This 341-nucleotide unclassified non-coding RNA is filed under the name soil metagenome. RNAcentral describes it as "partial contains 5.8S ribosomal RNA, internal transcribed spacer 2, and large subunit ribosomal RNA". The stretch from base 1 to 120 matches the Rfam family "5.8S ribosomal RNA", at positions 35 to 154 of the family's 154-position model. The record is from RNAcentral.
GAUGAAGAACGUAGCGAAAUGCGAUAACUAAUGUGAAUUGCAGAAUUCAGUGAAUCAUCGAGUCUUUGAACGCACAUUGCGCCCCCUGGUAUUCCGGGGGGCAUACCUGUCCGAGCGUCAUUGCUGCCCUCAAGCACGGCUUGUGUGUUGGGCUCCGUCCCCCCGGGGACGGGUCCGAAAGGCAGCGGCGGCACCGAGUCCGGUCCUCGAGCGUAUGGGGCUUUGUCACCCGCUCUGUAGGCCCGGCCGGCGCCAGCCGACAACCAAUCAUCCUUUUUUCAGGUUGACCUCGGAUCAGGUAGGGAUACCCGCUGAACUUAAGCAUAUCAAUAAGCGGAGGA